This 429-nucleotide ribosomal RNA is filed under the name uncultured bacterium. RNAcentral's name for it is "bacterial SSU rRNA". It matches the Rfam family "Bacterial small subunit ribosomal RNA", at positions 355 to 776 of the family's 1533-position model. The record is from RNAcentral.
UGGGGAAUUUUGGACAAUGGGCGCAAGCCUGAUCCAGCAAUGCCGCGUGAGUGAAGAAGGCCUUCGGGUUGUAAAGCUCUUUCGGCCGGGACGAAAUCGCCUUUAUGAACACUGAGGGUGGAUGACGGUACCGGAAGAAGAAGCACCGGCUAACUACGUGCCAGCAGCCGCGGUAAUACGUAGGGUGCGAGCGUUAAUCGGAAUUACUGGGCGUAAAGCGUGCGCAGGCGGUUUCGUAAGCCAGACGUGAAAUCCCCGGGCUUAACCUGGGAAUUGCAUUUGGGACUGCGAGGCUAGAGUACGGCAGAGGGAGGUGGAAUUCCACGUGUAGCAGUGAAAUGCGUAGAUAUGUGGAGGAACACCGAUGGCGAAGGCAGCCUCCUGGGCUAGUACUGACGCUCAUGCACGAAAGCGUGGGGAGCAAACAGG